This 271-nucleotide unclassified non-coding RNA is filed under the name Bombus terrestris (buff-tailed bumblebee). RNAcentral's name for it is "misc RNA ENSBTSG00005032759.1". The record is from RNAcentral. Lineage: Eukaryota; Metazoa; Arthropoda; Insecta; Hymenoptera; Apidae.
AGGAGUUAAGAAGAUUGAAAAUGAAAGAUGAGACUUUAAAAAAGUGUUGCGGAGCUUCUCUCAAGGUUAGAAGAAAACAUCUUCAACUGUAUCUUAUGGUGAUUCGCGUGAACACCUGUUGAAGUUCAUGGACAAAUAGAGUUCCUUCAUGAAGACGUAAUCGCGGAACAUCAAUCAUGCGCGAAUUAGAUAAAAGGCAAUUACGUAAACCGUACGGUCGAUAGAAAUACUCCUUCCAGGAUCUAAAGCCAAUGCAAAUUUCCCAGAUAAG